This is an RNA transcript of Prosopis cineraria, 886 nucleotides long. RefSeq lists it as uncharacterized. The record is from RefSeq and is a predicted model, not a curated record. Lineage: Eukaryota; Viridiplantae; Streptophyta; Magnoliopsida; Fabales; Fabaceae. The transcript has 5 exons.
UUAGCGUGGUAGCUUGUCGAAGCUCGACGAGGCUGCCGACUCUCGAUUAACCUGACCGCAAAGGAAGCACAAGGAUCGCACCGGGAGACGGUUUCCUUCCCGUCUAUCACACUAGGCGAUCCAUGGAGGUUCCGUCUCAUCUAAAGCUCUCCGUUCUUUCAUGCAUCCUAUUGCUGUCAUCAUCUCAAAUUCAUGCUACAAGGGUCAAAUACUGCGAAAAGCAAGGAGACUAUGCUGUGAAGGUGAUUGGAGUUGAAAUAUCACCCGACCCUGUGAUUAGGGGGAAACCGGCUACCUUUGAGAUUUCAGCUGCUACGGGUGAGCCUAUUUCUGGCGGUAAGGUAAUCAUUGAAGUUUCAUACUUUGGGGUGCAUGUCCAUACAGAAACUCAUGAUCUUUGUGAGGAAGCAUCCUGUCCUGUCACUGCAGGAAACUUUGUGCUCGCUCAUACGCAAACACUACCUUCAUUUACCCCACCGUGUCAAGACUGGACUCACCCAAUUUUUCUGGUGGCAUGGCCUUUAAGAUAAUGCUCAACAUUCUUUAGGACACUGAUGCUCUUACGAUAUUCGCCUCUUCCUUUCUUCCUUACGCCGGGCUCUUAUGUCCUGAAGAUGACAAUGGAAGAUGAGAAGGAUGAGCAGUUAACUUGCAUCAACUUCAAUUUCACAAUCGAUUUUGGAUCUACAGUGUCCAACAUCUAAGUGUUCACGGUCUUCAGCAGGACUCGGGGGGUUGCUUCAACUUUGCAUAAUAUUAUUUUAUUUGUUGAGUUUUUUGUUAAGCUGUGCAUGUGUAUAUCAACUCUGAGGACCCUUGCCAAGUGGUGGGGAAACACAGUGAAGACGAUUAAGAACAUUCCUGUCAAUAAUGUUUUUAACAUGAA